Molecule: small RNA, 541 nt
Filed under: Pongo abelii (Sumatran orangutan)
Lineage: Eukaryota; Metazoa; Chordata; Mammalia; Primates; Hominidae
Description: processed transcript
Source: RNAcentral
AGCCCGUGACGUGCGGUGUAGCUGGGGAAACGCACCGUGGUUCCCCGUAGGGUCAGGAGAUCCCAAGCCCCAGGCUGGCGUGGGCGAAGCGUACAAUCCCUUCACCUUUCGUCACCCAGAGGCACAAGAAUCCAGUUCGCGCCAACUGAGCUGUUUCUUCCUUCCUCCCCGGCACUCUGGGAGUCCUGAGAUUGCCUUGCUCGGUUCGUAGGUCUGAGCAGCUGGGGGUCCUCCACCAAGGGUGCUCAGAUUCUCCAGGAAACUCCCUUAAGGGUUAGCAACCGCCGAGUAGGUUUCGGUCCCAAGAUAGAAAGGCUACAAGUGCAAAAAGCUGAAUGAAAAAUGGAAAGGUUACUGCUGAAAUAUUUACAGAUGGAAGGAUAUGAUGUCUAGAAUUUGUUUCAAACAAGACGAAGUCUUACUACCAUAGCCCAGGCUGGGCUCAACUGAUCCUCCUGCCUCAGCCUCCCAAAGUGCUGGGAUUACAGGUGUGAGCCACCACGCCCGCCAUCAAGCAUUUACUUAUUGAAACACAUAUCAU